This 447-nucleotide ribosomal RNA is filed under the name uncultured bacterium. Its description in RNAcentral is "bacterial SSU rRNA". It matches the Rfam family "Bacterial small subunit ribosomal RNA", at positions 355 to 825 of the family's 1533-position model. The record is from RNAcentral.
UCGGGAAUUUUGUGCAAUGGGCGAAAGCCUGACACAGCAACGCCGCGUGAAGGAUGAAGUCCCUCGGGAUGUAAACUUCGUAAGAAUAGGAAGAAUAAAUGACGGUACUAUUUGUAAGGUCCGGCUAACUACGUGCCAGCAGCCGCGGUAAUACGUAGGGACCAAGCGUUGUUCGGAUUUACUGGGCGUAAAGGGCGCGUAGGCGGCUCUGUAAGUCACUUGUGAAAUCUCUGAGCUUAACUCAGAACGGCCAAGUGAUACUGCAGAGCUAGAGUGUAGAAGGGGCAAUCGGAAUUCUUGGUGUAGCGGUGAAAUGCGUAGAUAUCAAGAGGAACACCUGAGGUGAAGACGGGUUGCUGGUCUAACACUGACGCUGAGGCGCGAAAGCCAGGGGAGCAAACGGGAUUAGAUACCCACGUAGUCCCUGAGCGGGCUGGCAAGGCGCAU